UACGUAGGGUGCAAGCGUUGUCCGGAAUUAUUGGGCGUAAAGAGCUCGUAGGCGGUUUGUCGCGUCUGCUGUGAAAACCCGGGGCUCAACCCCGGGCCUGCAGCCGAUACGGGCAGACUAGAGUUCGGCAGGGGAGACUGGAAUUCCUGGUGUAGCGGUGAAAUGCGCAGAUAUCAGGAGGAACACCGGUGGCGAAGGCGGGUCUCUGGGCCGAUACUGACGCUGAGGAGCGAAAGCGUGGGGAGCGAACAGG
This 253-nucleotide ribosomal RNA is filed under the name uncultured bacterium. RNAcentral describes it as "partial 16S ribosomal RNA". It matches the Rfam family "Bacterial small subunit ribosomal RNA", at positions 524 to 776 of the family's 1533-position model. The record is from RNAcentral.